AGUAUUUCUGACUGCUUGCAGGCGGGAAAUACUUCCUAUGAGAGGCACAAACAACCCUGAGUAUGUAGGACGAUAGUCCGGAAUACGAAGGGGGGUACGAUUUCGAGAGUGCGUAGCACGGAGAAAUCGUU
RNAcentral lists this small RNA (131 nucleotides) under Waltera intestinalis. Its description in RNAcentral is "Clostridiales-1 RNA". It matches the Rfam family "Clostridiales-1 RNA", at positions 23 to 157 of the family's 166-position model. The record is from RNAcentral. Lineage: Bacteria; Bacillati; Bacillota; Clostridia; Lachnospirales; Lachnospiraceae.